GCUGGGCACAAUGGUGCAUGCCUGUAAUCCUUGCAGCUUGGGAGGCUGAGGCAGGAGAAUCGUGAGCUCAAAGCUAGCGCUCAGCAACUUAGCGAGGUACUAAGCAACUCAGUGAGAUCCUGUCUCUA
This 128-nucleotide small RNA is filed under the name Marmota monax (woodchuck). The record is from RNAcentral. Lineage: Eukaryota; Metazoa; Chordata; Mammalia; Rodentia; Sciuridae.